GAUGAACGCUGGCGGCGUGCCUAAUACAUGCAAGUCGAGCGAACGGACGAGAAGCUUGCUUCUCUGAUGUUAGCGGCGGACGGGUGAGUAACACGUGGAUAACCUACCUAUAAGACUGGGAUAACUUCGGGAAACCGGAGCUAAUACCGGAUAAUAUUUUGAACCGCAUGGUUCAAAAGUGAAAGACGGUUUUCCUGUCACUUAUAGAUGGAUCCGCGCUGCAUUAGCUAGUUGGUAAGGUAACGGCUUACCAAGGCAACGAUGCAUAGCCGACCUGAGAGGGUGAUCAGCCACACUGGAACUGAGACACGGUCCAGACUCCUACGGGAGGCAGCAGUAGGGAAUAUUGCGCAAUGGGCGAAAGCCUGACGGAGCAACGCCGCGUGAGUGAUGAAGGUCUUCGGAUCGUAAAACUCUGUUAUUAGGGAAGAAAAUAUGUGUAAGUAACUGUGCACAUCUUGACGGUACCUAAUCAGAAAGCCACGGCUAACUACGUG
RNAcentral lists this ribosomal RNA (497 nucleotides) under uncultured bacterium. Its description in RNAcentral is "partial 16S ribosomal RNA". It matches the Rfam family "Bacterial small subunit ribosomal RNA", at positions 28 to 507 of the family's 1533-position model. The record is from RNAcentral.